GAUGAACGCUGGCGGCGUGCCUAAUACAUGCAAGUCGAGCGAACGGACGAGAAGCUUGCUUUUCUGAUGUUAGCGGCGGACGGGUGAGUAACACGUGGAUAACCUACCUAUAAGACUGGGAUAACUUCGGGAAACCGGAGCUAAUACCGGAUAAUAUUUUGAACCGCAUGGUUCAAAAGUGAAAGACGGUCUUGCUGUCACUUAUAGAUGGAUCCGCGCUGCAUUAGCUAGUUGGUAAGGUAACGGCUUACCAAGGCAACGAUGCAUAGCCGACCUGAGAGGGUGGUCGGCCACACGGGAGCUGAGACACGGUCCAGACUACUACGGGAGGCAGCAGUAGGGAAUCUGCCGCAAUGGGCGAAAGCCUGACGGAGCAACGCCGCGUGAGUGAUGAAGGUCUUCGGAUCGUAAAACUCUGUUAUUAGGGAAGAACAUAUGUGUAAGUAACUGUGCACAUCUUGACGGUACCUAAUCAGAAAGCCACGGCUAACUACGUG
Molecule: ribosomal RNA, 497 nt
Filed under: uncultured bacterium
Lineage: Bacteria
Description: partial 16S ribosomal RNA
Rfam family: Bacterial small subunit ribosomal RNA
Source: RNAcentral